Molecule: long non-coding RNA, 616 nt
Filed under: Capra hircus (goat)
Lineage: Eukaryota; Metazoa; Chordata; Mammalia; Artiodactyla; Bovidae
Description: lncRNA (ENSCHIG00010028203.1)
Source: RNAcentral
UUCUUUUGAUGACAGCAUCCAGUGAAGGCAUUAUAGUUUUGAAAGACCUCGAAAUGAAGGAGCAGCAAAUCCUGCCAAUCAUCCAACAGCAAGAAUUGUCCCCUAAGAGAGCUGAUUUACACAGCAGGACAUCAAAUAGAUGAUAAAGGCACAGAAUAUUGGUGAGCAAUUUAAAGGAAUACUAUCAUUUUUACCACUGUACAUUUGAAUAUCACUUUUAUUUUUUUCUAAGUAUUUUUGCCCAUAUUAUCUCAUUGUAUAUCCUGCCGUAUAUUUAAAACUUGCCAUUUUUCAAGUGGCCAUUUUCACAGCUAGAUGGGAUUUUUAAAAAAUCUAUGUAUAUUUGAAGCUGGUUAAAAACAACUGUAAUCUGAGAAAGACCUCUUAUUGACUGGAGCUAGAAAAGGAAGAGGGGAUUUUAUUAUUCUCAAAACACCUGGAAAUUUGAUGUUGCUUAUUCUGUCUCUAUCACAAUGCUGAAGUCUAGCACUUGCCUUGAGCAGUCUGUAUAUAAUAAAUAAUUUUUAGUCAUGAAAAGAAUGGGCUUCCCUGGUGGCUCAGACAGUAAAGAAUCUUCUUGCAAAGUGGGAGACCUGGGUUCAGUCCCUGGGGUGUG